Molecule: ribosomal RNA, 2125 nt
Filed under: Aequorivita sp. CIP111184
Lineage: Bacteria; Pseudomonadati; Bacteroidota; Flavobacteriia; Flavobacteriales; Flavobacteriaceae
Description: bacterial LSU rRNA
Rfam family: Bacterial large subunit ribosomal RNA
Source: RNAcentral
CAAGCGAAUAAGUGCACAUGGUGGAUGCCUUGGCGAUUACAGGCGAUGAAGGACGUAGUAGCUUGCGAUAAGCUGCGGGGAGUGAGCAAACACACUUUGAUCCGCAGAUUUCCGAAUGGGGCAACCCACCCUUUUAGGGUAUUGCAUACUGAAUACAUAGGUAUGCAAGGCGAACGCGGCGAACUGAAACAUCUAAGUAGCUGCAGGAAAAGAAAUCAACCGAGAUUCCCAAAGUAGCGGCGAGCGAAAUGGGAAGAGCCUGUACGUGAUAGUCGGACCGAUAACAGAAUCCUCUGGAAAUAGGAGCCAUAGCGGGUGAUAGCCCCGUAUGUGAAAUCGGACCGGUGGUACUAAGCGUACGACAAGUAGGGCGGGACACGUGACAUCCUGUCUGAAUAUGGGGGGACCAUCCUCCAAGGCUAAAUACUCGUAAUCGACCGAUAGUGAACCAGUACCGUGAGGGAAAGGCGAAAAGAACCCCGGAAGGGGAGUGAAAUAGAUCCUGAAACCGUGUGCAUACAAACAGUAGGAGCGGACUUGUUCCGUGACUGCGUACCUUUUGUAUAAUGGGUCAGCGACUUACAUUCAGUGGCAAGGUUAACCAUAUAGGGAAGCCGUAGAGAAAUCGAGUCCGAAUAGGGCGAUCAGUCGCUGGGUGUAGACCCGAAACCAAGUGAUCUACUCAUGGCCAGGAUGAAGGUGCGGUAACACGCCCUGGAGGUCCGAACCCACUAAUGUUGAAAAAUUAGGGGAUGAGCUGUGGGUAGGGGUGAAAGGCUAAACAAACUUGGAAAUAGCUGGUUCUCUCCGAAAACUAUUUAGGUAGUGCCUCAAGUAUCACCAUCGGGGGUAGAGCACUGUUAUGGCUAGGGGGUCAUUGCGACUUACCAAACCAUUGCAAACUCCGAAUACCGAUGAGUGCGAGCUUGGGAGACAGACGUCGGGUGCUAACGUCCGGCGUCAAGAGGGAAACAACCCAGACCGCCAGCUAAGGUCCCAAAGAUUGGCUAAGUGGAAAACGAAGUGGGAAGGCUAAAACAGUCAGGAUGUUGGCUUAGAAGCAGCCAUCAUUUAAAGAAAGCGUAAUAGCUCACUGAUCGAGUCGUCCUGCGCGGAAGAUGUAACGGGGCUAAGCCAGUCACCGAAGCUGCGGAUAUUGUUCUGUGAUUUAUCACAGAUAUAUAUGGUAGGAGAGCGUUCUGUAAGCCUGCGAAGGUGUCUUGUAAAGGAUGCUGGAGGUAUCAGAAGUGCGAAUGCUGACAUGAGUAGCGAUAAUGGGGGUGAAAAGCCUCCACGCCGUAAGCCCAAGGUUUCCUGUUCAACGUUCAUCGGAGCAGGGUGAGUCGGCCCCUAAGGCGAGGCAGAGAUGCGUAGCUGAUGGGAAGCAGGUUAAUAUUCCUGCACCGUCGUAUGAUGCGAUGGGGGGACGGAUCGCGGAAGGUUGUCCAACUGUUGGAAUAGUUGGUUUUUGGCUCAUAGAAGGCACUUAGGCAAAUCCGGGUGCGCAAUUCAAGGGGUUGAGACGAGUGAACUUGUUCACGAAGCAAUCGGAAGUGGUUCCAAGAAAAGCCUCUAAGCUUCAGUCAUACGAGACCGUACCGCAAACCGACACAGGUGGGCGAGAUGAGUAUUCUAAGGCGCUUGAGAGAACUCGGGAGAAGGAACUCGGCAAAUUGGUACCGUAACUUCGGGAAAAGGUACGCCCCGGUAGCUUGAUUGGUUUACUCCAUGAGGGUGAAAGGGUUGCAAUAAACUGGUGGCUGCGACUGUUUAAUAAAAACACAGCACUCUGCAAACACGAAAGUGGACGUAUAGGGUGUGACGCCUGCCCGGUGCUGGAAGAUUAAAUGAUGGGGUGCAAGCUCUUGAUUGAAGUCCCAGUAAACGGCGGCCGUAACUAUAACGGUCCUAAGGUAGCGAAAUUCCUUGUCGGGUAAGUUCCGACCUGCACGAAUGGCGUAACGAUGGCCACACUGUCUCCUCCCGAGACUCAGCGAAGUUGAAAUGUUUGUGAUGAUGCAAUCUACCCGCGGCUAGACGGAAAGACCCCAUGAACCUUUACUGUAGCUUUGCAUUGGACUUUGAACCAAUCUGUGUAGGAUACGUUGGACGCUUUAAAUCUAAU